GACGAACGCUGGCGGCGUGCUUAACACAUGCAAGUCGAACGGAAAGGCCCUGCUUUUGUGGGGUGCUCGAGUGGCGAACGGUUGAGUAACACGUGAGUAACCUGCCCUUGACUUUGGGAUAACUUCAGGAAACUGGGGCUAAUACCGGAUAGGAGCUCCUGCUGCAUGGUGGGGGUUGGAAAGUUUCGGCGGUUGGGGAUGGACUCGCGGCUUAUCAGCUUGUUGGUGGGGUAGUGGCUUACCAAGGCUUUGACGGGUAGCCGGCCUGAGAGGGUGACCGGCCACAUUGGGACUGAGAUACGGCCCAGACUCCUACGGGAGGCAGCAGUGGGGAAUAUUGCACAAUGGGCGGAAGCCUGAUGCAGCAACGCCGCGUGCGGGAUGAAGGCCUUCGGGUUGUAAACCGCUUUCGCCUGUGACGAAGCGUGAGUGACGGUAAUGGGUAAAGAAGCACCGGCUAACUACGUG
This 468-nucleotide ribosomal RNA is filed under the name uncultured bacterium. RNAcentral's name for it is "partial 16S ribosomal RNA". It matches the Rfam family "Bacterial small subunit ribosomal RNA", at positions 28 to 507 of the family's 1533-position model. The record is from RNAcentral.